RNAcentral lists this ribosomal RNA (253 nucleotides) under uncultured bacterium. Its description in RNAcentral is "partial 16S ribosomal RNA". It matches the Rfam family "Bacterial small subunit ribosomal RNA", at positions 524 to 776 of the family's 1533-position model. The record is from RNAcentral.
UACGUAGGUGGCAAGCGUUAUCCGGAUUUAUUGGGCGUAAAGGGAACGCAGGCGGUCUUUUAAGUCUGAUGGGAAAGCCUUCGGCUUAACCGGAGUAGUGCAUUGGAAACUGGGAGACUUGAGUGCAGAAGAGGAGAGUGGAACUCCAUGUGUAGCGGUGAAGUGCGUAGAUAUAUGGAAGAACACCAGUGGCGAAAGCGGCUCUCUGGUCUGUAACUGACGCUGAGGUUCGAAAGCGUGGGUAGCAAACAGG